This is a long non-coding RNA of Poecile atricapillus (Black-capped chickadee), 896 nucleotides long. RefSeq lists it as uncharacterized. NCBI's taxonomy places the organism in Eukaryota, Metazoa, Chordata, Aves, Passeriformes, Paridae. The record is from RefSeq and is a predicted model, not a curated record. The transcript has 3 exons.
GAGCCUCCCCCAGCACCCUGCGAGUCGAGAGCUGUCGCAGAGGAGCAGUUAAUUAGCCAAGAUCCCGGGAGCAGCAAGGGUGGCUCAGUGCAGCUCUGCUCCCAGCACUGACAGCUCCAGCUUUGCUCUCCUGUCCUGCCUUGUUUUCACUGAAACUUCCCGGAGCCGUGGAAAACGCACAAUUAGAGGCUGUUAGGUGAUUGAUUCCUGGGCGAAGGGGCCUUUCCUCCUUGCCUGGAAGGUCUGGCAGGUGUUCCACCUGCUGAGUGUUGCUCCCAGCUAGAGGAUCCUGGUGGGAAGAGCAGCACCAGGAACUGUGUGGAAAAAUUCCCCCAGUCUCCUCCUGGACGAAUGCAGCAGAUUUCUGGAUCCAGAAGGGGAAGAUUCCUGCUCUGCUGCUCCAGACUCCUGAGCAUCCACCCAUCCUCCUCAGCCAACCUACUUUGUAUUAACAGCAAUUCAAAUGUUAACAGCUGCUGUCCAUGUUCGUCAAAAAGCAGCUUAAUACAAAUAUAUGAUUAUUGUAUGAGCAUUGUAUAAAAGAUACUUGGUUGUGUCUUAAGCUAAAACAACAAUAUACACUUUUAUCCAAUCCUGAUACGUUUAUAAAUAUAUUUAAAUGGGUAUAAAUAUUUAUAAAUAGUUUCUGUAAUCUUCUGUAAUUAGGCUCUAAGCUCUGUGACAGACAGCAUCUGUUUGAUCUCCGUGUGUGUGUGUGGCAGGUCUCUCCAAUGAAAGUGGCGGAGUCAGGAGAUGCCUCUGAAGGGAGCCGGCUCCUUCCCUUGGGAGGAGGAAACCCGGACCUGGAGCAGGCUUCAGGUGCAGGAAAAGCCGAGCAGAGCUGGGAUUGUGCAGCCAGAGCAGGGGGAUGGAAGAUGAGCAGCCCAGGGCUGGUG